Gallus gallus (chicken) is the source of this 556-nucleotide long non-coding RNA. NCBI's taxonomy places the organism in Eukaryota, Metazoa, Chordata, Aves, Galliformes, Phasianidae. The record is from Ensembl.
GAUAUCUGAUACCACGUGGCUCAGCAAUAACACUGGGAGAGUUAGCCAAGGGUUGCUUCUCACAGAUUGGCUGAGCAUCUAUCAGUGGGUGGCAUGAAGAAGAGAAGGCAGCGGCGGUGGGAGCAGGUAUUCCCAGAGCCAUCCAUCGCUGCCUGUCACUGCUCUCGUCCAGGUUGAAGGCCCAGUGGAAGCCUUCUAACCCUGCUCGCUUGUGCACAGAAGCAAAGGGUACAGCCAUAAGACAGAAGAGCACAGAUGUGCCGAGGUGCUGCAUGAGGAUAUCCAACAUGGGGCUGCUUUAAUGUGAAGCGAGAUCCAGGCAGAGGAUGCUCCGAAUGCAGCUCAGACAAAAGUGUGCUUCAGCCACACAAACGCAGGUGAGAAACUCCAUGUUCUUUUUUCAAAGUCAUUCCUCUCCUUUGGCAUCGCUGAAUCCUGCUGUCACCACGUGCCCUGUUUGUGAUGCUGAGGAAGGGAAGCUCAUGGAGGUGAUUUCCUUCUGCUUUUCGGAAGCUUUCCAGUCUGAACAAAAGACGUAUUGCUUCUGACACUGGAG